Molecule: long non-coding RNA, 1838 nt
Organism: Daphnia pulicaria
Lineage: Eukaryota; Metazoa; Arthropoda; Branchiopoda; Diplostraca; Daphniidae
Exons: 2
Source: RefSeq, a predicted model, not a curated record
CAGCAAAACAUUUAAUGAACAAAUCAGCUGCCGAGAGACCAGAAAGAGCUAAGUGGGCAAGACCAGUAGCAGUUCCAGAAAAACCGGACAAAAAUUCCUUCCAGUAUCUCCUUUUCCGGGGUCCAGUCAUACCCGUAACGUUAACUAAACUGCCCGUUUUAAUUUUUGAUUUGUCCGACGAGAUUCUUUAGCGGGCAGAUGCAAGUCCCCGGCCACACUGUUCCGCUAUUUAUUAGAAAAGGCCCGCAGGGGACGUGAGUCUUUAAAAAAAAACUAAAAACCGGUUCUUCUUUUUUCUUUUGGUUCGUGAAACGGAAAAGAAGAUGGACUCGGGAGUCAGCCGGGCGACGACGUCGUCAUCAUCAUCAUCAAUAAUAUAACCAGCACCACACAAAAGAGUUUUUAAAGAUUGCCAGCAGCAGCAGCAGCAGCUGGAGUUGAAACGUUUCCCACACAUCACUACGGAAUCUGGAUGCGUUUUUCUCUUUUCUCGGUACCCUUUCGGUGAUAUUUGGUGGUCGGACCACCACCACCACCACUACCACCGCCGCCAUUCUGAGAAAAUAAAAGAUUCUCUUCUAUUUCUGUCGCCUCAUUAUCGAGAUAAGUUCCCCCGAAAAAGUUUCCCAUGACAUCCCCCAGCUCAGACUGCUGUCCGUCAUUUGUGUUGUUGAACAACAGCCUGGCGGAACCAUAGACCUCAUCCAUCGCUCCUCACUCCCCGAAAUGAACAAAAAAAAAAAGCGGACAUUGUGCUACUACUAUCCUAUCCAUCUCUAUCUCGAAUGAACAUGUAUACACGAAAAAUGUAGUACACCCACAAUUGUUGAUGAGAGAGAGGGGGCCCGUCUCUCUCUCUCUCCAACCGGACACGGAAUUUCGCCCCGGAGCGAGGAUUACCUGUCUCUCUCUCUCUCUGCGGCUAACGCCCUCUCAGAGUGCGUAUUACAUCCAGGCAACCAACUGGCAUUCGCUCAUUCGUUACAGACAGCGUCGGGUGUUGUUUAAGAUAGUCGUAGGGAUUCAUCGCCAGAGCGCGAGUGCCUCUUAGCUCGGAGAACCUCCAAAACUCGGGAAAAUGGGAGAUAUUUCCGCUGUUGUUUUAUUUUCGUUCAACAUUUUUUUCGAGCAGUUGCCAGUUGGGACGUCGAGCUGGGAGGACGCCGAUGGAGAGACGGGAACGACGCCAAAGUACUCAGGAUAGGAGGGCGGACGGAUGACGAUGGCGCAUCUAUUAACGGAAUUGACUCUUUAAACCUGAAAUGGGGGUCCUGUCGCUGUUGGAUUUCCUAAUUGAAUCCAUUGCGAAAAAGGCACGUGAGAAACGUCGAGGAUAACGGACCAGUCGAUCGGCGGAAAACAAAUUAAAUAAUAAAAACGAGGGUCCCAAAAUGUCAAAAGUAGAAAUCAAAAGUGGAGUAAAUGAGCUCACCUGGACUUGGUAGACGUACUCGUCCUCGCUGCUGCUGUUGCUGCUACUACAUUCACUACUCCUACUACUGGAAGAACGGUUGAUAUCGUGUCUCUAAAAGAAAAUGUCAAGAAAAAAAAUAAAAAUAAACAUAACGGAAACAAUUAUCGGGAAAAAAAAAUACACUUGCAACCAUUUUGUGUGUCUUCAAAUUGUUUCGUAAAAAAAAAAAUAGAAAAAUGGGAAGAGAAAUUCAUUCUGCCGGAAUCGUAUAAAAUAAGGUAAGUAGAAUCUUAAUAUUUAUAUCCAAUACACGAGUCUGAAAUUAAAAAGUUUUUCUGGAAGUCCUUAAAAAAUUCAUUUCUUCCUUCCCGAAAAAAAUGUCGUCCACACAUAAACGACCCGUUCAAAUAAAUGUUUGAAACGA